UAGGGAAUCUUGCACAAUAGACGAAAGUCUGAUGCAGCAACGCCGCGUGUGCGAAGAAGGCCUUCGGGUUGUAAAGCACUUUUCUGAGGGAAGAGAAAGGACGGUACCUCAGGAAUAAGUCUCGGCUAACUACGUGCCAGCAGCCGCGGUAAUACGUAGGAGGCAAGCGUUAUCCGGAUUUAUUGGGCGUAAAGGGCGUGCAGGUGGUUUGGUAAGUUGGGUAUGAAAUCUCCUGGCUUAACUAGGAGAGGUUGCUCAAAACUACCAGACUAGAGGACGGUAGAGGGAGGUGGAAUUCCCGGUGUAGUAGUGAAAUGCGUAGAUAUCGGGAGGAACACCAGUGGCGAAGGCGGCCUCCUGGGCCGUUCCUGACACUAAGACGCGAAAGCAUGGGGAGCGAACG
This 403-nucleotide ribosomal RNA is filed under the name uncultured bacterium. RNAcentral describes it as "bacterial SSU rRNA". It matches the Rfam family "Bacterial small subunit ribosomal RNA", at positions 355 to 774 of the family's 1533-position model. The record is from RNAcentral.